This 253-nucleotide ribosomal RNA is filed under the name uncultured bacterium. Its description in RNAcentral is "partial 16S ribosomal RNA". It matches the Rfam family "Bacterial small subunit ribosomal RNA", at positions 524 to 776 of the family's 1533-position model. The record is from RNAcentral.
UACGUAGGGUGCAAGCGUUAAUCGGAAUUACUGGGCGUAAAGCGUGCGCAGGCGGUGAUGUAAGACAGUUGUGAAAUCCCCGGGCUCAACCUGGGAACUGCAUCUGUGACUGCAUCGCUGGAGUACGGUAGAGGGGGAUGGAAUUCCGCGUGUAGCAGUGAAAUGCGUAGAUAUGCGGAGGAACACCGAUGGCGAAGGCAAUCCCCUGGACCUGUACUGACGCUCAUGCACGAAAGCGUGGGGAGCGAACAGG